GUUGUAAGAACCGAACCGAUGAUCGAACCGGUCAGGUUACUGGUUCACUGGUUUAUUGGUUCAACCGAUAAACCGCUGGUUGAACCGGUAAAACCGGUUUCACAUAAAUAAAAAAUAUAAAAUACUAAAAAUAGUCAUAAACUUAAUAAAUUCAACAUUAUGUUGCAUUUCCGUUUCUUCAAGGCUAUACUCAAAACUAAUCUUCAAAGGAUUAAAAUACCCAAUAAGUUUUCAAGGAGACAUGGAAGCGCUCUUUCAAAUCCAGUGUUUCUUAAGCCUCCAGAUGGCACUCUAUGGAAAGUGUAUUGGACAAAAAAGAAUAGUGAUGAAGUUUGGUUUGUAAAAGGAUGGAAGGAAUUUACCAAAAACUACUCUCUUAAUGAAGGACAUUUAGUUGUGUUUAAAUAUGAAGAAACUUCUCAGUUUGAUGUAAUCAUACUUGAGAUAAAUGAUCUAGAAAGGGUUGGUG
Long non-coding RNA from Arachis duranensis, 469 nucleotides. RefSeq lists it as uncharacterized. Lineage: Eukaryota; Viridiplantae; Streptophyta; Magnoliopsida; Fabales; Fabaceae. The record is from RefSeq and is a predicted model, not a curated record. The transcript has 2 exons.